RNAcentral lists this ribosomal RNA (492 nucleotides) under Triticum aestivum (bread wheat). Its description in RNAcentral is "partial small subunit ribosomal RNA". Lineage: Eukaryota; Viridiplantae; Streptophyta; Magnoliopsida; Poales; Poaceae. The record is from RNAcentral.
AUGUUGAUGCAAGACUACUUCGCAGAGAACCCUACAUAUCCACCGCACCUCUUCUGGAGAAGGUACCGAAUGCGCCCAUCCCUCUUUAUGAAAAUUGUUCAAGCUUGCAAGGCAAAUUGCCGGUAUUUUACUCAAAGAAGAAAUGUUGCGGGCUUAAAGGGAUUUAGUGCAUAUCAAAAAAUCUCCGCAGCUAUGCGGGUGAUUGCAUAUGGCAUUCCAACUGACUAUGCCGAUGAGUACCUUCGCAUUGGUGAAGAUACUACAAUUGAGUCUGUGCGUAGAUUUGCAAAAGUGAUCAUCCGUGUCUUUGGUCCUGAGUAUCUUUGGGCACCCAACGAAGAUGACAGAAAGAAAUUGAUGGCAUCUAGUGAGAGGAGAGGUUGGCCUGGCAUGCUAGGUAGCAUUGAUUGUAUGCAUUGGACUUGGAAAAUUGCCCCAAGGCAUGGCAAGGAAUGUAUUGUGGAAAGUCUCGUGAUGCAACAAUUGUGCUAG